This 512-nucleotide ribosomal RNA is filed under the name uncultured bacterium. Its description in RNAcentral is "bacterial SSU rRNA". It matches the Rfam family "Bacterial small subunit ribosomal RNA", at positions 34 to 507 of the family's 1533-position model. The record is from RNAcentral.
CGCUGGCGGCGUGCCUAAUACAUGCAAGUCGAACGCACUCUCGUUUAGAUUGAAGGAGCUUGCUCCUGAUUGAUAACAUUUGAGUGAGUGGCGGACGGGUGAGUAACACGUGGGUAACCUGCCCUAAAGUGGGGGAUAACAUUUGGAAACAGAUGCUAAUACCGCAUAAAACCUAACACCGCAUGGUGUAGGGUUGAAAGAUGGUUUCGGCUAUCACUUUAGGAUGGACCCGCGGUGCAUUAGUUAGUUGGUGAGGUAAAGGCUCACCAAGACCGUGAUGCAUAGCCGACCUGAGAGGGUAAUCGGCCACACUGGGACUGAGACACGGCCCAGACUCCUACGGGAGGCAGCAGUAGGGAAUCUUCCACAAUGGACGAAAGUCUGAUGGAGCAACGCCGCGUGAGUGAAGAAGGUUUUCGGAUCGUAAACUCUGUUGUUGGAGAAGAAUGUAUCUGAUAGUAACUGAUCAGGUAGUGACGGUAUCCAACCAGAAAGCCACGGCUAACUACGUG